AAGCUUGNCAGGCCGUAGGCCGUCUCCGGUUAUCCGGUGUCAAGAAACCAAAGUGGUUUCCAAGAAUUGUUGAAAGGUAUCUUAUCCUGAAUUCAAUAGGGAUAAGAAGCGAACGCGGGGAACUGAAACAUCUAAGUACCUGGGGGAAAGGACAUCAACCGAAACUCCCCAAAUAGUGGCGAGCGAACGCGGACCACGCCCGUGGCAAUGAAGAAUAAAGUGGAACGACUUGGAAAGGUCGGCCGUAACGGGUGAUAGCCCCGUACACAAAAAACACUCAUUGUCCUUGAGUAGGGCGGGACACGUCAAAUCCUGUCUGAACAUGGGGAGACCACUCU
This 338-nucleotide ribosomal RNA is filed under the name Ensifer fredii. Its description in RNAcentral is "Sinorhizobium fredii bacterial LSU rRNA". It matches the Rfam family "Bacterial large subunit ribosomal RNA", at positions 71 to 459 of the family's 2925-position model. The record is from RNAcentral. Lineage: Bacteria; Pseudomonadati; Pseudomonadota; Alphaproteobacteria; Hyphomicrobiales; Rhizobiaceae.